UGAUCAUAUUUUUUUAAAUUCAAAAUUGUCUCAUAUUGUGUAAAAACGGUUCAAGUUGAUCAUUUUUUCUGAUGACGUUAAAAAAAACGCUUAAGGCAUAUAUAUGUGGCAAGAUCUGUCUAAUUGAUGUGACAAUGUUAAAAGUCUUUGAUCUUAAUUAAACCCUUUCUAUUACAAUUAAAUUUACUUUAGGGGUUGUCUUCUCCUUUUCUGGUUAAGGAACGUGAUUGGCUGGGUUGAAUCAGGGUUUUGUUAUUUGGGGUUUCUUCUCUACAGGUUUUGAUCUCGCAAUUUGGGGCUAGGGUUUUGAUUUGGGUUAUGUUAUUUGGGAUUUUUGUUCUUGAUUCUUGUUUACAAGUUUUGAUCUCGCGAUUUGAGGCUAUGGUUUUGAUUUGGGUUCUGUUGUUUGGGGUUUUUGUUAUUGAUUCUUCUCUACAGGUUUUGAUCUCGCGAUUUGGAGUUCAGAUUUUGAUUUGAGUUUUGUUAUUUGGGGUUUCUGUUCUUGAUUCUUCUCUAUAGGUUUUGAUCUCGCGAUUUUGAGUUAGUGUUUUGAUUUGAGUUAUGUUAUUUGAAAU
This 575-nucleotide long non-coding RNA is filed under the name Vigna radiata. RNAcentral describes it as "long non-coding RNA (VRAD_LNC007312)". The record is from RNAcentral. Lineage: Eukaryota; Viridiplantae; Streptophyta; Magnoliopsida; Fabales; Fabaceae.